This 459-nucleotide ribosomal RNA is filed under the name uncultured bacterium. Its description in RNAcentral is "partial 16S ribosomal RNA". It matches the Rfam family "Bacterial small subunit ribosomal RNA", at positions 338 to 795 of the family's 1533-position model. The record is from RNAcentral.
CCUACGGGUGGCAGCAGUGAGGAAUAUUGGUCAAUGGGCGCGAGCCUGAACCAGCCAAGUCGCGUGAAGGAUUACGGCCCUACGGGUUGUAAACUUCUUUUGUCAGGGCGCAAAUGGGUCCACGCGGGGGGUUAGCGAGAGUACCUGAAGAAAAAGCAUCGGCUAACUCCGUGCCAGCAGCCGCGGUAUACGCAGGAUGCUCGCGUUAUCCGGAUUUAGUGGGUUUAAAGGGUGCUUAGGCGGAAUAUCAAGUCAUCGGUAAAAAUUCGGCGCACAACCCCGUCGUGCCGUUGAAGCUGAUGUUAUUGAGUGGGCGAGGAGUAUGCGGAAUGCGGGGUGUCGCGGUGAAAUGCAUAGAUAUCACGCAGAACUCCGAUUGCGAAGGCAGCAUACCGGCGCCCAACUGACGCUGAAGCACGAAAGCGUGGGUAUCGAACAGGAUUAGAUACCCUAGUAGUC